UAUCUCUGUAGAGUCUGCAUAUCAAUAAGCGGAGGAAAAGAAACUAACUAGGAUUCCCUUAGUAACGGCGAGUGAAGCGGGAAGAGCUCAAAUUUGAAAUCUUCAAGGUUCUACCUUGACGAAUUGUAGUUUAAAGAAGUGUUUUCUGUUGGAGUUUUGGUAAAAGUUCUUUGGAAUAGGACAUCAUAGAGGGUGAGAAUCCCGUAUUUGACCAUUACUUUCCAGCGUUGUGAUACACUUUCAAAGAGUCGGAUUGUUUGGGAAUGCAGUCCCAAAAUGGGUGGUAAAUUUCAUCUAAAGCUAAAUAUUGGCGAGAGACCGAUAGCGAACAAGUACCGUGAGGGAAAGAUGAAAAGAACUUUGAAAAGAGAGUUAAACAGUACGUGAUAUUGUCAAAAGGGAAGCGUUUGACACCAGUGUUGUUUUCUCGAAAAUCAAUUAAAAAAGGCAGGAUUUUGUGUUGUAUUGACUUUAUCAGCUUUCUGCACUCUUUUCUUGUCUUUUUUUAAUGACACUUUUCGUUUAACAAGUCAACAUCAAUUUCUUUUGUUGUAAAAGGGUCAUUGGAAGGUGGCUUUCUUUUCGGAGAAAGUGUUUAUAGCCUUUGGCCUCUGCAAUCGGAGAGAUUGAGGUCUGCAGCGUAGAUCCUUCGGGGUUAGAUACAUUUGUGCUAAGUUAUAGCCUUUCAUAGACAACUUGUUGACUAUGAUCAGUCAUGUAGCUUACUCGCUUAUGCUAUUUUACCUACGCUUAGGAUGUUGAUAGUCACAGCGUGUAC
Molecule: ribosomal RNA, 778 nt
Filed under: uncultured Neocallimastigales
Lineage: Eukaryota; Fungi; Neocallimastigomycota; Neocallimastigomycetes; Neocallimastigales
Description: partial large subunit ribosomal RNA
Rfam family: Eukaryotic large subunit ribosomal RNA
Source: RNAcentral